CACCUCUCAGGGUCGCACCUGGAAAGUUUCCAAUACUCUUCCAGAAUUGACUACGGGAGGGAGAGUCAAGCAGAGGCCAAUCCAUUCCAUUCCUAGCUUGGGCAGUGGCUAGCGAGAGGAAGACCAUCUGCUACAAGA
Ornithorhynchus anatinus (platypus) is the source of this 138-nucleotide small nucleolar RNA. NCBI's taxonomy places the organism in Eukaryota, Metazoa, Chordata, Mammalia, Monotremata, Ornithorhynchidae. The record is from RefSeq and is a predicted model, not a curated record.